AGCCUCUUCGCAUUCUUAACAUCAACAAAUGUGCCCUGAGCUCAAAGUAAGUCAGAUUUGCAGACCAUACAAAGAUGAAGGUCUCGACGGUGGCGGUGCUCGUUAUGGUGGCGAUGCUGAUGAUGUCGGUGGCUGUUUAUUCUGACGAUGCAAGUUCUCAUGGAGUUACUGAAAAACAAGUUGCAGCUGCUGCAAACGCUCAUGGAAGUAAUGGAGGAAGCGUCGUCACAGAGGCAGCUAGUACUGAUUCAACAGCUGGUGCCUCUGGUACUUCAUCAGCUGGUGCCUCCGGUACUAAUAUUGAUUCAAACUAUUACGUGACUAUGAAAGGGUACAUGGAGUACAUGAGGAAGUAUGGCGGUAAACAACCCUGAGUUCGUGUUUCUUCUGGGGCCUGCAUAUAUAUGUGUGUGCUUUCUAUGUGUGUAAACCUUGGUACCUAAAUGUGCAAACAAAAUGCGCAUAGAUGUAUGCAUUUCAGUAUGGGGAUGCGUUGAAGAGUGAGGUACCAAGUUUUACUGGUUGAAAUCGUAAAACAACCUAAGUAUUUCUCACAUCUAAAUAAUCUCCAGCAGCCAACUGUCAUCAUGUAAUAAUGCAGUGUAAUGGUAUUCUAUGUUGUUGAAUUAAUAUUAUGCUUAUUAUGUCA
Molecule: long non-coding RNA, 649 nt
Organism: Oryza sativa Japonica Group (Japanese rice)
Lineage: Eukaryota; Viridiplantae; Streptophyta; Magnoliopsida; Poales; Poaceae
Source: RefSeq, a predicted model, not a curated record